CAAGAACUAUGAUGGUGAUGUACAGAGUGAUUUCUUAGCACAAGGUUUUGGAUCCCUUGGGUUGAUGACCUCUGUCCUGGUGUGUCCUGAUGGCAAGACCAUUGAGGCUGAAGCAGCCCAUGGAACUGUUACCCGCCACUACAGGGUUCACCAGAAAGGAGGUGAAACCAGCACAAACAGCAUUGCCUCCAUCUUUGCCUGGACUCGUGGCCUUGCACACAGGGCAACAUUGGACAACAACGAACGGCUCUUGGAUUUUACUGAGAAACUAGAGGCAGCAUGCAUUGGUGCAGUGGAAUCUGGAAAGAUGACGAAAGAUCUUGCACUCAUCAUCCAUGGAUCCAAGCUUUCACGAGAGCAUUAUCUGAACACGGAAGAGUUCAUUGACGCUGUAGCUGAUGAGCUCAAAGCAAAACUUCUGAAAGCAAAGGCCUAAAUGUAUGAGUGAGGACAAGUCAGUUUGAGGCUAUUGAAUUGAAGAGAAAUAAAAGGAGUUGAGGCCUUGUUUGGUAUACUAAAUUUCAAGAGGUUUUUAUCCUUUUUAGGUUGAGGAUUAUUCUCCAGACACUACAUUUUGAACCAUUUGAAUCUGAAUUUCUAUUGCUGAUGUUGCUGCAAGUUAUUUGCCAAUUUAUAGUUUUACACAUAGUUUG
Molecule: unclassified non-coding RNA, 653 nt
Filed under: Hevea brasiliensis (rubber tree)
Lineage: Eukaryota; Viridiplantae; Streptophyta; Magnoliopsida; Malpighiales; Euphorbiaceae
Source: RNAcentral